CUUUCAUCCUUUACAGCUACCAGAUCAGACUCUUGAUUUCCACUGAAUUCUUCUGUCCUCUUCUUUUCUUUAAUUAAUUAGUUGCACACUUUGUUCCAGUGAAGAGCACUAAGAAAUUCCCGAUACCGAAAGUUCGUACUUCACCCAAGUGGAAGGGUUAUAAAUAUAGUAUGUAGACAGCCAGUGAGAAGAUUCCAAGGCAAAGUGAGCAGGGGG
This 216-nucleotide unclassified non-coding RNA is filed under the name Hevea brasiliensis (rubber tree). Lineage: Eukaryota; Viridiplantae; Streptophyta; Magnoliopsida; Malpighiales; Euphorbiaceae. The record is from RNAcentral.